ACGCUCGACACCUACAGGAGGCAGCAGUGGGGAAUAUUGCACAAUGGGGAAACCCUGAUGCAGCGACGCCGCGUGGAGGAAGAAGGUCUUCGGAUUGUAAACUCCUGUUGUUGGGGAAAAAGAGGAUGGUACCCAACAAGGAAGUGACGGCUAACUACGUGCCAGCAGCCGAGGUAAUCUGAGCGGGCUGGCAAGGC
This 197-nucleotide ribosomal RNA is filed under the name uncultured bacterium. RNAcentral's name for it is "partial 16S ribosomal RNA". It matches the Rfam family "Bacterial small subunit ribosomal RNA", at positions 328 to 539 of the family's 1533-position model. The record is from RNAcentral.